GGGGAAUUUUCCGCAAUGGGCGAAAGCCUGACGGAGCAAUACCGCGUGAGGGAGGAAUGCCCUUGGGUUGUAAACCUCUUUUCUCAGGGAAGAAGAUCUGACGGUACCUGAGGAAUAAGUAUCGGCUAACUCCGUGCCAGCAGCCGCGGUAAUACGGAGGAUGCAAGCGUUAUCCGGAAUCAUUGGGCGUAAAGCGUCCGCAGGUGGUUUCCAAAGUCUGCUGUUAAAGACUGGAGCUCAACUCCGGAACGGCGGUGGAAACUUGGAAACUAGAGUUCGGUAGGGGUAGCAGGAACUCCCAGUGUAGCGGUGAAAUGCGUAGAUAUUGGGAAGAACAUCGGUGGCGAAGGCGUGCUACUGGACCGUAACUGACACUCAGGGACGAAAGCUAGGGGAGCGAAGGGGAUUAGAUACCCCUGUAGUCCUAGCUGUAAACGAUGGAAACUAGGUGUGGCUUG
Molecule: ribosomal RNA, 458 nt
Filed under: uncultured marine microorganism
Description: bacterial SSU rRNA
Rfam family: Bacterial small subunit ribosomal RNA
Source: RNAcentral